RNAcentral lists this microRNA (24 nucleotides) under Glycine max (soybean). RNAcentral describes it as "gma-miR1520h". The record is from miRBase by way of RNAcentral. Lineage: Eukaryota; Viridiplantae; Streptophyta; Magnoliopsida; Fabales; Fabaceae.
AACGUCCAAUCAGAACGUGACAUG